Leucoraja erinaceus (little skate) is the source of this 871-nucleotide long non-coding RNA. RefSeq lists it as uncharacterized. NCBI's taxonomy places the organism in Eukaryota, Metazoa, Chordata, Chondrichthyes, Rajiformes, Rajidae. The record is from RefSeq and is a predicted model, not a curated record. The transcript is spliced from 2 exons.
GGGUAAACUGUUGGGGAAGAAAAUGUGCAAUGAAAAUUGCUGAGUAAACUGCCUGGUAGUGCACCAUUUAGCAGGAUAUGGAUGGCAGAGAACUUACUGACUGGCUGCAUCAUAGCCUGGUCCAGCACCUUGAACGUCCAGGAAUGAAGGAGGCUGCAGAAAUCCAUGGACACAAGCCAUCACAGAUAAUCAAGAAAAGGAUGCACGCAAGGAGAUGAAAAUGGUGUACCAUGCUCGAACUGCUGUUUCAUUUGCCUUCCUGAUGGCUCACUGCAUCUUCACAUUUAUCUUAAGUGAUUUGCGUACCAGGACAGACACAAAAUGCUGGAGUAACACAGCGGGUUAAGGAAUAGGAGAUGUUUCGGGUUGCGAUCCUCUUCAGACUGAGAGUCAGGGGAGAGGGAAACUAGAAGGACGAAUAAGUCACCUUGACCAUCAACGUCUCCCAAUCUGUCACCAUUUAAAAAACAGUCCGCAUGUCAGUGUUGUGCACCAAAGUGGACGACCUCUCAUUUAUUUUACAAAGACACAAGGAACUGCAGAUGUUGGUUUACAAAAAGAGACACAAAGUGCAGGAGCAUGUCAGUGAGUCAGAUAGCAUAUCUGGAGAUCAUGGAUAGUGAUGUUUCAGGUCAGGACCCUUCUUCAGUCUGUCGCCUGUCCAUGUUCUGCAGAGAUGCUGCCUAACCGCUGAGUUCCUCCAGCACUUUGUGUAUUUUCUCAUUUUUCUACAUUGUUUUCUAUUUGCUCAGCUCUUGUCCACUCGAUCAGCUUGACCAUAUCUCCUUGAUGUUUCUUUAUGCCCUCAUGCCCAUUCAUAGUUUUGUAUCAUCAGCAAACUUGGAAAUAAAUGUUCUUUGUGAAUCACAAA